Long non-coding RNA from Capsicum annuum, 2650 nucleotides. RefSeq lists it as uncharacterized. NCBI's taxonomy places the organism in Eukaryota, Viridiplantae, Streptophyta, Magnoliopsida, Solanales, Solanaceae. The transcript has 8 exons. The record is from RefSeq and is a predicted model, not a curated record.
AAGUGUUGAAGGUGAAAAAAAUUUACUUUCGAGCAACGAGUAUAUAUUUUUUAGUAGAAAAUUUGUUCUUGAAAGCAGAUGCUUUUCUGGUGGUGGCGAGGAAACUCCGUUAAAAGGUCGUAGUUUCAUUUUGCUGCCUCAAAAAAGGUGAGAGCUGCAUCAGUUGUUUUGAUGGAAUAACUUCCAGAGUUUUCUUUUCUCUACCAAAGGAUAAACAAGACUUUAUCUUGAACUCAUGUGUUAAAACUGCAAAAGGUGAUGAGGUUCCGAAUGUUAGAUCAGCUGUUUGUUGUGCUAUUGGUGUAAUUGCUUGUUUUCCACACAUUUUACAAAGUGCAGAGAUUUUUGACAAGUUCAUUUCUCCUGUUGUGGACAAUAGUCAUGAUUCUUCGGUGUCGGUUCGCAUAACAGCCUCAUAGGCUUUAGCUAAUAUAUGUGAUGCACUUUGCCACCAUGUUGAUGUACAUGGAUUUGAGAAAUUCUCUUCAGGUCCUGUUAAUUUCUGAAUGAUUUUAGAUCUGUUUAUUGUGUAACAAUACUUUCAGAUGUCUUAUUGUUCUUCUAUAUGAAUGAUUCAACAAUGAGCUCACAGUCUAUAUCCUUGCUGAUUGACUGUGCUCUACAACUUACGAACGAUAAUGACAAGGUAAGCUAUGUUGUUAAGCUAUAUCGGCAAGUUUCAGUUCUUCUUUUGACAUUUUUUUGUCAUGUUAGUGAUUGUAUUCUAAAAUUUACUUCUCAUGUUUUUGAUAUCAAGUCAAAGAAAAUGCUGUGAGAGCAUUGGCUAAUCUUUCAAGAUUUGUUAGGUUUUCAAGUCAAUCAUUUGCUUAUAACAGGCAAGCAAAUUCAAUGGUCAUAUCUUCUGGGAGAAAACCCAUAAAAGGUUUGUCCAUUUGUGAGGAUCUGGAAGAAAGUCAAAGUCCAUGUAACGCUCCCUUGGAAAAUUCUAAAUGGCUUGAGAUGAUGGUGCAGGCAGUUAUUUCCUGUGUUACAAUAGGAAAUGUUAAGAUCCAGGUACUAACAGUUGGCGUUGACAUGGUUCCUACCUUUCAGUGUUGGUUUAGAGUGGGAUAAGCUUACUGUCGUCCGAGAUGGCUAGGACACGACGUUCGAGAGCAAGGGGUCGGGACCACGGGUCCGCUUCUAGAGUUCUAUCUUGGGAUCGAGGUCGACCCAGAUAUCAGGGGCAGGGUAGAGCAGCAGCCCCUAUUCGAGAUCAGGUCAGGGAUCCAACACCUGAUCCUAUUAUAGCUUCGAGGAUUGAGAUAGCUCCAGGUAUUCCGCCAUAUCAGUAGGUGGGCCAGGGGGCAGCCCAGGCUUCACCUGGCUUUAUAUCUUCUUCGGUUAUUCGGGAUACAUUAGUUCAGUUAUUGGGGUUAGUUAGCAGUCCACCGGUCGUGGGAGCUCAACCAGCAGCACAGGGUAGUAUUGAUUUAGGGGCACAGCCUGCGGCAGCGGCGCCUAGGGUAGAGGUUCCACCAACACCAGUAGUCUCACAGCCGCCAGUGGCCCAGCCACUUAUGUCUGCAGAGGAACAGAAGAUGCUGGAUCAAUAUUUGAGAUUGACUCCACCCAGAAAUCAUCCUUCUUUGAGGAGUGGUUUAAGUUGGUCUGCAUGUCUCUCGAGAAAUCACCUAACCAGUUUGAGGCUGAAUAUUACUCUUCUGUAAACCAUAGGAAAGAUGUCAUAUUCUGAGUGGUUAGGUCACUUAUUGAGGUGUAUGAAGCGCGCGAUCUUCACGCUGUUGUACAAAGGUUUCACAAACUAUCCAAUAUCCUAUAAGAGGUUUUCCAGUUUUGGGUCCUACUUUUUCUUGGUCGGUCUGGGGUGUGUGUAUUUUCUCCAGCUACUGCUUCUUGAGCUGGUUAGCCCUGUCCAGUCGAGGUUGUACCUUAGAUCUGUAAUUUUGCCAUUUGACACCAAUGACAACCUGUAGAGUACUCUGUCGAACAAAAUGGUGGUUGUCUUUGGAUGUGCAUUUCUAUCGGAAGUCCCAAGUGGUUGUCUUAAGCGAAAGGAUGAGCACAAAAGCUUCCAAUGAAUACUUGUAGAUUAGUCUGGAACAAAAUGGUCUUCUUCUUUGGAUGGGCAUUUCCAAGGGAAGUUGUGAAUGGUAGCCAUUAGCAAAAUGACGAGCACAAAAACUCAGUAUGCUAACCUGUAAAUUAGCUGGAUGAUCAUCUCAAAGGACUCUUGAAUGGUCGUAGCAACAGGAUGGGCUGAAAAAUUUCCGAGCAUCCUCUUAUCUUUGACUUGCUCGAAAGGCUGAGUAUCUGGCUAUUCGAUCCAUGGACAUUUCAGUAGUUGCGCAAGAGAAACUUGUAUUUGCUCUCUAUUGUGUCAAAACUAUUAAGCAUGGAGGAAUAUGUUAGUAUCUGGAGGUUGUACUGCAUUUGUUGUGCUUUCUAUGUAUAACAAUGAGAGUUCUCAGUUCCUGUGCAAAAUAUUUUGACACUUGGACCACAUUUCGCCGUGAUAUUACCUAUUUUCCAUUUUUUUUUACAGUAAUCAUAGGCAGGAAUACCCAAUUGGCAUAUCGUUAAAAACUUGCAUGAUACAUUAUCAUUUUCGAAGGUGUGUUUGGUAUGAGAGAGAUUACUCUAAGAAAAUGUUUUUCAUCAGGAAGUCUUGUAUCUUUCAAAUGACACA